Nilaparvata lugens (brown planthopper) is the source of this 733-nucleotide long non-coding RNA. RefSeq lists it as uncharacterized. The record is from RefSeq and is a predicted model, not a curated record. Lineage: Eukaryota; Metazoa; Arthropoda; Insecta; Hemiptera; Delphacidae. The transcript has 2 exons.
CAGACCACAUACCCUUGGUUGCUAACUUUUAUCUUCGACUUAGAAAAACAGAUCGGCAUUAUGAUGACCGAAGUAUACAAGGAGAAAAAAGUAACUAAAUGAGAUCUCGACGCUUCAAUAACAAAAUUUUGAUACGACCUCAUGAAAAUACAAGUUUAUAGUUUUUUAAAUUAUUCAAUUAUACACAAAACACAAAAGUUGAAGAUUGUUCUCAACUUAUGUCAAAGGUUGAAAUUAUUAUAGUGAUCACAUUGAAGUUUUGAGUAAAUAUCUCUUGGGAAAUGACACCAACAAUAUCAUUCUGUGCUGUGAUAGAAGAGUGCUAAAAACGGAAUAGGAAUAAUUUAAUAAAUUUUGUUUGAAGUUGCAUGAAUUUAGUUACUAUUUUCCAAUUUCUGUAGAGUGUAUAAUAAAUAAGGUUUCUCGAUCUAUUCCGAGCUGCGAUGUAUUAACACACUUUUUUGAUGUAUUUUACACGUCGUGUCAAACAGUCAAAAUGAACGCUUGCCGUUCGAAAGUACUCCAGUAAGUAAGUAAAAGUGAAAAAUUGCUUAUUCACUUAGAAUAAUUGACUGCAUGUCGUGUAGAAUACAUCAAAAAGUGUGUAAAUAAAGAUUCUCAUUUUACUUGAUUAUUUGUGUGUUGAAGUAUGAAUUCAGUUAGGCUUACUGUAUCGGAAAUCUUGUUUGAAUCUCUGUAAAGUGUAUAAUAAAUCUACUGUUCAAAUUUACAA